This 89-nucleotide small RNA is filed under the name Flavobacterium sp. 103. Its description in RNAcentral is "Flavo-1 RNA". It matches the Rfam family "Flavo-1 RNA". The record is from RNAcentral. Lineage: Bacteria; Pseudomonadati; Bacteroidota; Flavobacteriia; Flavobacteriales; Flavobacteriaceae.
GUUUUGCGUGAGUGAUGGAAGUGGAGCUCUUUUUUUGUCCUGUUUUUUUACGGGACAAAAAAAAGCGGGAACGUACAGCACGACCCGCA